UAGGGAAUCUUCCACAAUGGACGCAAGUCUGAUGGAGCAACGCCGCGUGAGUGAAGAAGGUCUUCGGAACGUAAAACCUCUGUUGUUAGAGAAGAACACGAGUGAGAGUAACUGUUCAUUCGAUGACGGUAUCUAACCAGCAAGUCACGGCUAACUACGCGCCAG
Molecule: ribosomal RNA, 165 nt
Filed under: uncultured bacterium
Lineage: Bacteria
Description: partial 16S rRNA
Rfam family: Bacterial small subunit ribosomal RNA
Source: RNAcentral